CCUACGGGUGGCAGCAGGGAGGAAUAUUGGUCAAUGGACGAGAGUCUGAACCAGCCAAGUAGCGUGAAGGAUGACUGCCCGAUGGGGUGUAAACUUCUUUUAUAAAGGAAUAAAACGAGGCACGUGGGCCGUUUUGCAUGUACGUUAUGAAUAAGGAUCGGCUAACUCCGUGCCAGCAGCCGCGGUAAUACGGAGGAUCCGAGCGUUAUCCGGAUUUAUUGGGUUUAAAGGGAGCGUAGAUGGGUUGUUAAGUCAGUUGUGAAAGUUUGCGGCUCCACCGUAAAAUUGCCAUUGAUACUGGCAGUCUUGCGUACAGUUGAGGUAGGCGGAAUUCGUGUUGUAGCGGUGAACUGCUUAGAUCUCAC
This 365-nucleotide ribosomal RNA is filed under the name uncultured bacterium. RNAcentral describes it as "partial 16S ribosomal RNA". It matches the Rfam family "Bacterial small subunit ribosomal RNA", at positions 338 to 700 of the family's 1533-position model. The record is from RNAcentral.